CCAACCAAGAAAAUGAAAAGAUAGGGGAUAGAUGGGAGACUGAGUGUGUUUGCAGCAGGGGAGUCUAAACUUCAUAAAACCUUUAACACAGUAGUCAGAGUUAAUAGUUAGAGCUGGAUAUCCAAAUUUUGCAUUUGAAAAGUGAGGAAUUGAUUCAGUUAGCAUUUAUAAUAUUUAUAGUAGCUCAUUUGAAUGUUUUUGCACAGUGGACAACACUGGCCUCCCCUUUGUUUGCUAUAGUGGUAUGUUCAAGGGAUGUCUCGACUGUCAGUAUAGCUGAAAGUGUUCUGCAGAUUGUCAAUCCACCUGUACACUGUAAUUAUCUGCUGGAACGAACAGUAUAGUUUGUACAAAUAACAGUACAAAUCAAAACAGAGCUGAUAAGAGAGGAUGGCUGCACCUCAAAAAGGCGAUCUGUCAGCAUCUGAGAGGAAGAUCCUGCAAAUAAUUGCUGCUGGCGAUGUACAGGAGGCUGCCCAGCUGCUUGCCAGCCAAGAAGUACGAGUCAACUGUUUGGAUGAGUACGGCAUGACUCCACUGAUGCAUGCAGCCUAUAAGGGCAAGGCAGAUAUGUGUCGUCUGCUGCUGCAGCAUGGGGCCGAUGUUAACUGCAACCAGCAUGAAUAUGGCUACACCGCUCUCAUGUUUGCUGGCUUGUCAGGGAAGACAGAUAUCACCUUCAUGAUGCUGGAUGCAGGAGCAGAGACAGACCUGGUGAAUUCUGUGGGUCGCACUGCUGCUCAGAUGGCGGCAUUUGUAGGCCAGCAUGAAUGUGUUACAGUGAUAAACAACUUCUUCUCACGGGCAAGACUGGAGUACUACACCAGGCCACAGGGGCUGGAGAGGGAGCCCAAGCUGCCCCCCAGGCUAGCAGGGCCCCUGCACAAGAUUAUCAUGACCACCAACCUCAACCCAGUCAAGAUAGUCAUGCUGGUGAAGGAGAACCCUGUGCUGGUUGACGUGGCGGCUCUAGAGAAGUGUUACCAAGUAAUGGACCUGCUGUGUGAGCAAUGCGUGAAGCAACAAGACAUGAACGAGGUUCUGGCCAUGAAGAUGCACUACAUCAGCUGUGUGCUGCAGAAAUGCCUGGCCUUCCUACAGAAACAAGAUGACAAGCUGGAUGCACUUGUCAAGACCCUGUUGAGGGGGAGAGACAGUGAUGGCUUCCCACAGUACCAAGAGAAGUUCAUCCGGGACUGCAUCAGGAAGUUUCCUUACUGCGAGACCACACUCCUUCAGCAGCUGGUGAGGAGCAUUGCACCAGUAGAGAUUGGCAAUGACCCAACAGCAUUCUCAGUGUUGACUCAGGCCCUGACGGGACAAAUGGCAUUUGUAGAUGGUGACUACUGUGCUACAUGCGGGGAGAAGGGAGCAGAUAAGAGGUGCUCCCUAUGUAAAGCCGUAAGUCAAAGUCUGUUGAAAGCCACUAUCUGCCAGACCUUGUAUUUGAAAAGGUAGGCCUUUAUUUCUAAUCCCUGCGGUUUGAAAAUUAUAUUUGGUUAUAUGUUAGUGUGAAGCCUCCUGGUUUUCUAAUCUGCUCCUGUUUGCCUUAUUAUUUAUAUUACUGCAUUAUGCUGUUUAUACAAACUAAACAUUUCCUGAAUUUGUUUUUACUUAAAAUCCCUAUAUCCCUAUACACUAUCCCUAUAGUGUACAUAACUGGUAUGCAGUAAGCAAGCGUGACAAAAAUCAGGAAUGCAAAAUGUCAUUUGUGUUACUACGCCCCUUUGCGUACUUGACCAUGUUGAUAACGUGACGGUCAAGUGCGUAAAGAUGAGUAGUAACAUUACACAUUCCUGAUUUUUGUCACACUUGUAUAGCUGUGUACCAGUUAUGUGCAUCCCUGCCUAUAACAUUUCAGUGGACUGAAAUAUGCUGCUGCCAUCUUGUGGAACUUCUACAAAAUGUGUUUUGUUUUUUUUUUUCUGUGACAUCGAUACAUAUUGUGGGCAAAAGUCAAUGGACAUCUGACCAUCACACCCAUAUGAAAUUGUAAGGUUGUAAGGUUAGGGACUGUCCUUGCUUGCAGUCGGCAUUCUUAAUCCUCCCUAAUGUGUUUAUUGAGGUUGUAAUCAAGGUUCUGUACAGGCAAAUUGAGUUCCUCCAGUCCAAACUUGUCAAACCAUUUCUUUAUGGACCUUGCUUCGUGCACAGGGGCACAGCCAUGCUGGGACAGCAAAGGGCGUUUCUCACACUGUUGCCACAAAGUUGGAAGUGUCCAGUUGGCAAAAAUGUCAUCACAUCUUGUAACCUCAAGAAGACCCUACAAUGUAACCAAGACCUUGGAACAGCCCCAGACCAUUCCUCCUCCACUAUGCAUUCCGAUGACUUACUGCAGUUUAAGAUGCCAAAAACUCCACUGGUUCACCCAUAAAAGGAUGUGCAGGUCUCUGGAGGUGCAGGAU
Molecule: RNA transcript, 2405 nt
Organism: Scatophagus argus
Lineage: Eukaryota; Metazoa; Chordata; Actinopteri; Scatophagidae
Gene name: ankyrin repeat and MYND domain-containing protein 2-like
Exons: 9
Source: RefSeq, a predicted model, not a curated record